This 821-nucleotide non-coding RNA is filed under the name Saccharomycodes ludwigii. The record is from RNAcentral. Lineage: Eukaryota; Fungi; Ascomycota; Saccharomycetes; Saccharomycodales; Saccharomycodaceae.
UAGGAAAAUCAUAUAUAUAAUAUAUUAUAUAUAAAUUAAUAUAUAAUAUACAUAUAUAUAUAUAUAUACAUAUAUAUAUAUAAUUAAUAUAUUUAAUAUUUAUAAUAAUUAAUAAUAAAAUAAUAAUUAUUAAUAAUAAUAAUAAAUAAUUAUAAAUUAUAUAAAAAUUAAUUAAUAUAUAUAUAUAUAUUAAAUAAAUAAUUAAUAAUAUUAAUAUAUUAUAAAUAUAAAUAUAUUUAUAUUAAUAAUUGAUAUAUAUAUAAAUUAUUAUAUAUAUCAUAUAUUUAUAUAAAUAAUAAAUAAAUAAUAAUAAUAUUGUUAUUAUAUAUAUUAUAUAUUAUAUAUUAUAUAAAAUAAUAAUUAAAUAUAAUUAUAUAAUUAUAUAAUUAUAAAUAAUUUAUUAAAUUAUAUAUAUAUAUAUAUAAUAAAUAAAUAAUAAUUAAAUUAUUAUUAAUAAUUGAAUAAUUGAAAAGAAUAUUAAUUAAUUAAUUAAUAAUUAAUAUAUAUAUAUAUAUAUUAUCAUUAUUAUUAUAUAAUUAAUAAUUAUAUUAUUUAUAAUAAUAAAUAAUUAUUAUAAUAUAUAAAUAUAAAAUAUUAUAUAUAUAAUUAUAUUAUAUAUAUAUAUUAUAUUAUAUAUAUAAAUAUAAAAUAUAAAAUAUUAUAUAUAUAAUUAAUAUAAUAAUAAUAAUAAAAUUAAAUUAUUAAUAUUAAUAAGUGUUAUAAAAUAUUAUAUAUAUUAUAAUAUAUAAUUAUUAUAUAUAUAAUUGAUAAAUAAUAAUUAAAUUAUAUUAUAAUAAUAAUAAUAACUAAAAUAUGGUUAA